Long non-coding RNA from Castor canadensis (American beaver), 2065 nucleotides. NCBI's taxonomy places the organism in Eukaryota, Metazoa, Chordata, Mammalia, Rodentia, Castoridae. The record is from Ensembl.
UAGGAAAAGGCCCAAAUUUAUGAGGAAAAAAGAUAUCCUUGCUUCAUCUGAAGACAGGAGGGAACUGUUUUUCCUUCUCUUCACAGCAAAUCGUUGCAGGGAAGAGCUGGAGACGCUGAAGCUUCCCGAUUUCCUCCCCCUCUUGGAACUACGGACAAUAAGGACAACCCAGCCCUGUCCUGAGGGAUUUUUUGACCAUCGAGGGAGGCACAAGGCAAUGUGCGGAACUUGAAAAAGUGGCACAAGUUUCUCAGCCCGCUUCCUGUUUGCAAAGUCAGUCCUGACUCCAUUUAUGAAAACCAAGUAUUAGGGCCUCCCUGGCUACGGAAGGGUCAGCUGGCGCCAAACUCCCCUCGGAGACUCAGAAGAUUCCUUAAGGGAGCAGCAAGAAUUUCCACCGCGACUAUUUGGACGGACAGAAACUGAUCAUGAGAAACGUGCGGAAAGCCACUGCCUACACCAUGCGCAAGCCACGCCCCCUUCGAGGCCUGGAACUACAAAUCCCGUCCUGCCACGCGCUGGGAGCCCCGCGCUUCGGGGCGCUAGUUGAGAAUCAAAUGCCAGGGGUUCUGGGCAGGAUCUGGAAUCCCUCUGAGGUGGAUGUGAAGCAGUAGUGAGUUUGGAGGGUUGAGACUGGGCCGGAGUGUUCCAGAAGGGUUCAGAACCCGAGAAGCUUUCUUUUUUCCCCUUCGGUACUGGGGUUUGAACUCAGGGCCUUCACCUUGAGCCACUCCGCCAGCCCUUUUUUGUGAUGAGUAUUUUCAAGAUAGGUUCUCACGAACUAUUUACUGGGGCUGGCUUUGAACCACGAUCCUCCUGAUCUCUGCCUCCUGAGUAUCUAGGAUUACAGGCAUGAGCCACUAGGCCCCGCUCCCAGAAGCUUUCUGAUUAAUCUUGGGCCCCAGAUAAAGAUUAUUUAUGAGAGGCAGAGGCAAGGUUGAGAUGCAAGAGACAAAUUACUAAUGCUUGCCCCUCUUUUUUUUUUUUUUUUUUGUAUGUAGCCCAGGUCGGCCUUGAACCUCCUGCCUCCAGUGCUGGGAUUACAGAUGUGCACUACCACGCAGGUCUCACCCCUCCUUUUCCUUUUUGUGUUUUUUUGGUGGCACCAGAGUUUGAACUCAGGGCCUCACACUUGCUAGGCUGUGUUGCUCUAUCACUUGAGCCACUCUGCCAGUUCACCCCUCCUUUUAAUAUGCAAGUUUCCAUACAUCCUCUGCAAGCUUUGAAGAGUUAGGACGUACAAGCAGAACAAGUGGCCAAUGCUACAUGUAUGGCCCAAAUUGUUGACCCUCUUGUGCUCAAAGCCUUUCUGUCCUGCCCAGCUAGACAAUGUGAAUCAGUAUGCAGGAUGAAUUUUCCCCAUCUGUUCCUUCCUUCUUUUUUCCUUCCUCUCCCUCUCCUGUUUUGUUUUUACUUUGGAGACAGUAUUGCCCUUGCUGGCUCCAAACUUGUCUCAAGCGAUCAUCCUGCAGCCUGAAUAGUUGAAGCUGCAGACAUUGAACACCAAACCUUCCUAUUUUUUAAGCAUCUAUUGUCUGUCAAGCAGAUGCCAAAUGUUAUCCCCUGAGAUUCUUACAGUAGUUGUGUGUAUGCAUGGCAAACUUAAUCCAAUUCAACUAGAACCACUCUGCAAAGAGAUACAGGGAGCUGAUGUGUAGGGGUGAAUCAUAGAUGGGAGUCAAAUGUGUCUGUUUACAACAGCCUGAGCAUAUUGCCCUGCACUCCAGCUAAAAGUUCAACAUUUUGGGAAGCUGGGGUGUAGCUCAGUGGUAGAUCACCUGGCUAGCAUGCAGGAGGUCCUGGGUUCCAUCCCAAGCACAACCCCUAAAACAAGACUUCUCCACUCAGUGAAACUAAGAGUUUCAAACUGUAUCAAGAUAGAUUGGAAGGAUCACAGUUAAGAGGCCAAGCCUGGGCAAAUAGUUCGUGAGACCCCAUCUCCAAAAUAAUCAGAACAAAACUAGACUGAAAGUGUGGCUCAAGGGGUAAAAAACCUGCUUAGCAAGCAUCAAGCCCUGAGUUCAAACCCCAGACUCACCAAAAUAAAGAGUCAAUGUUACAAUCA